Molecule: ribosomal RNA, 468 nt
Filed under: uncultured bacterium
Lineage: Bacteria
Description: partial 16S ribosomal RNA
Rfam family: Bacterial small subunit ribosomal RNA
Source: RNAcentral
GACGAACGCUGGCGGCGUGCUUAACACAUGCAAGUCGAACGGAAAGGCCCUGCUUUUGUGGGGUGCUCGAGUGGCGAACGGGUGAGUAACACGUGAGUAACCUGCCCUUGACUUUGGGAUAACUUCAGGAAACUGGGGCUAAUACCGGAUAGGAGCUCCUGCUGCAUGGUGGGGGUUGGAAAGUUUCGGCGGGUGGGGAUGGACUCGCGGCUUAUCAGCUUGUUGGUGGGGUAGUGGCUGACCAAGGCUUUGACGGGUAGCCGGCCUGAGAGGGUGACCGGCCACAUUGGGACUGAGAUACGGCCCAGACUCCUACGGGGGGCAGCAGUGGGGAAUAUUGCACAAUGGGCGGAAGCCUGAUGCAGCAACGCCGCGUGCGGGAUGACGGCCUUCGGGUUGUAAACCGCUUUCGCCUGUGACGAAGCGUGAGUGACGGUAAUGGGUAAAGAAGCACCGGCUAACUACGUG